AUUGAACGCUGGCGGCAGGCCUAACACAUGCAAGUCGAGCGGAGCGGCGGACGGGUGAGUAAUGCCUAGGAAUCUGCCUGGUUGUGGGGGAUAACGUCCGGAAACGGGCGCUAAUACCGCAUACUAUCAGAUGAGCCUAGGGCGGAUUAGCUAGUUGGUGGGGUAAAGGCCUACCAAGGCGACGAUCCGUAACUGGGCCGAGAGGAUGAUCCGUCCGACUGGAACUGAGACACGGUCCAGGCUCCUACGGGAGGCAGAAGUGGGGAGUAUUGUACAAGGAGCGAAAGCCUGAUGCAGCCAUGCAGCGUGUGUGAAGAAGGUCUUCGGAUUGUAAUGCACUUUUAGUAGGGAGGUGGCACCAACAGAGUAAGCACAGACUAACUUCGUGCCAGCAGCCGCGGUAAUAC
Molecule: ribosomal RNA, 407 nt
Filed under: uncultured bacterium
Lineage: Bacteria
Description: partial 16S ribosomal RNA
Rfam family: Bacterial small subunit ribosomal RNA
Source: RNAcentral